This is a long non-coding RNA of Fundulus heteroclitus (mummichog), 1015 nucleotides long. RefSeq lists it as uncharacterized. The record is from RefSeq and is a predicted model, not a curated record. NCBI's taxonomy places the organism in Eukaryota, Metazoa, Chordata, Actinopteri, Cyprinodontiformes, Fundulidae. The transcript has 4 exons.
GUUCUUUCAGCAGUCUCAUUCAGUGUUUCACCCUACUGCAGCCGAAACACAGGAAAGCAACGGAAACAUGUGGAAUCCUGCAGUUAAAAUUCAGAAAAUCACCACAGGGGAAACUUUUGGUGCAGAUGCAGUUUUUAUGAACCAAGUCAGGAGAACAGUGAAGCUGGAGGAAACAAAGGGGAAUGCUCAACACAUCAUUCUUUUCUGUCCAAUCACCUCUCGAGUUGGCUCGGACGUGGAGGCAGCCUUGGAAAAUGUGGCAUAUGGUCAAAGGGUCAUCCUGGUUCUGAUGCACCACACCCGAGAUGCUGACUAUUCAACAGCUGGCAGAAGGUGGUCUGAAACCACUGAAAAGGUCGCCUUGGAUGUUCACAUUCUCUAUCACGAAAGUGUCCAAGGAUUGCUACGCUGUGCACAAAACGAUGUGGCAGUGUCACAAAUGCAAACAUUUUUAUCACGAAACCAAAAUAAUUCAGUUGUGAAUUUGGUCUGGGGUUUGUAUGGGUUUUACUGUUCGCUGUUGCUUUGGAUUUUGUCUCUGGUCUGUCCCUGGACGAGGCUUUGGAAUUGGUCCUGCAAACUGGUUUCCCGUUUGGUUUCAGGUGUGGUGCUUUACAUACGAAAACCAAGAGUGAUUAAAGAAAAUCUUCCUUAACAAUAAAAUUUAAAUGUACAUAUAGAGUUUCUUGCCUAAUGUGUCUUGCACACACACAGACAUUGCCAUUUGAACCCUGUUUAUACAGGCAUAGGUAAAGACACAAAGAAAACGAACUGCAGCAAAAUCAGAGGUAUUAUCAUUAUGUAGAGGUACAGAAAUGUAGAAAUCUGACAUUGUUUUUAACAUAAACAAGCUCCCGUGCACAUAAACCAUAACCUGACCAAACAUAUGCCAAAUGCUUUCACUAUGAAAUUAGACUGAGGAAAAAAAGUAAUAUUUAAAUAUUGAUUUUGCAAUUAAUAAACCAUGUUCUACUGCAGUGUUUUUGACUGUAAAUCUGGUAUGAUAAAUUGUUUA